UACCGGAGAAUGUUAUCACGGGAGACACACGGCGGGUGCUAACGUCCGUCGUGAAGAGGGAAACAACCCAGACCGCCAGCUAAGGUCCCAAAGUCAUGGUUAAGUGGGAAACGAUGUGGGAAGGCCCAGACAGCCAGGAUGUUGGCUUAGAAGCAGCCAUCAUUUAAAGAAAGCGUAAUAGCUCACUGGUCGAGUCGGCCUGCGCGGAAGAUGUAACGGGGCUAAACCAUGCACCGAAGCUGCGGCAGCGACACUAUGUGUUGUUGGGUAGGGGAGCGUUCUGUAAGCCUGUGAAGGUGUACUGUGAGGUAUGCUGGAGGUAUCAGAAGUGCGAAUGCUGACAUAAGUAACGAUAAAGCGGGUGAAAAGCCCGCUCGCCGGAAGACCAAGGGUUCCUGUCCAACGUUAAUCGGGGCAGGGUGAGUCGACCCCUAAGGCGAGGCCGAAAGGCGUAGUCGAUGGG
Molecule: ribosomal RNA, 463 nt
Filed under: Escherichia coli
Lineage: Bacteria; Pseudomonadati; Pseudomonadota; Gammaproteobacteria; Enterobacterales; Enterobacteriaceae
Description: bacterial LSU rRNA
Rfam family: Bacterial large subunit ribosomal RNA
Source: RNAcentral